UACGUAGGGUGCAAGCGUUGUCCGGAAUUAUUGGGCGUAAAGAGCUCGUAGGCGGUCUGUUGCGUCGGCUGUGAAAACCCGGGGCUCAACUCCGAGCCUGCAGCCGAUACGGGCAGACUAGAGUUCGGCAGGGGAGACUGGAAUUCCUGGUGUAGCGGUGAAAUGCGCAGAUAUCAGGAGGAACACCGGUGGCGAAGGCGGGUCUCUGGGCCGAUACUGACGCUGAGGAGCGAAAGCGUGGGGAGCAAACAGG
Molecule: ribosomal RNA, 253 nt
Filed under: uncultured bacterium
Lineage: Bacteria
Description: partial 16S ribosomal RNA
Rfam family: Bacterial small subunit ribosomal RNA
Source: RNAcentral